This is a long non-coding RNA of Diachasma alloeum, 796 nucleotides long. RefSeq lists it as uncharacterized. The transcript has 2 exons. NCBI's taxonomy places the organism in Eukaryota, Metazoa, Arthropoda, Insecta, Hymenoptera, Braconidae. The record is from RefSeq and is a predicted model, not a curated record.
ACCAUUCCCCACGACGAAGCCCCUACCACAUCACCCACGCGUGCGACUACCAUCACAAUAAGUUUAACCUUCGAAAGCAUUCGGGAGAUUUCUUCCCCUUGAGUGAUAGACUAAUAAAAACCUCAACUGAAAACUCGUGCAGAUAAUGGAUCCCAACCCGGUGGAUCCGGUCAAGAAUGAAGAUAAGAAAAGUGCAAUCAAAGAACGAAUGGCUAAGAUGAGAGCAGAGAACUUGGCAAUCAUGCGGGAGUACACAAAGCAGAAAAUCAACAAUUCCAGGAUCGAUCGUAAAAUCUUAGUGAAAUAUGCACAAUUCGUUGCUGACGAGAUUUACGGUCCUUAUGGGCUCAAAACUGUUACCGCAUUUAAAAGGAAGUAUGGAUUGAGAUUGGCCAAGUUGUCAGUACGAGGAUUCAUUGAAAGGAUAUCAAAACAACUCUACACUCCACUCCUCGACGGAGCAGAUGAGUUCGAGCUAAAUGUUGAACAGCUGAAGAGAAUUCGAUUGAAACUCAAAGAGAAGGAGAAGAAGAGGAAAAAGAAAAAAUAAAGAAUUAUACUAUUUUGUGAUACGAUCUUGUAAGCUAAAAACUAAGAAUAGAAUGGAAUUCUCACUCUAAAUAAAAUAAUUAUGAUUAUUCAGGAACAAAAAGGAGAUAUGCCUUGUUUACGAUAAUUUGAUGGAUGUUUACAUUUUUUUUAAUGUAAUGGGACGGGCCAGGAAAGUGAAAUUAUGGGAAAGACAAUACUGAGUUUUGUUCUGGUAAUUGUUGAAACAAUAAAGGACUGAGUAUUA